Molecule: ribosomal RNA, 449 nt
Filed under: uncultured bacterium
Lineage: Bacteria
Description: bacterial SSU rRNA
Rfam family: Bacterial small subunit ribosomal RNA
Source: RNAcentral
UGGGGAAUAUUGGACAAUGGGGGCAACCCUGAUCCAGCAAUGCCGCGUGUGUGAAGAAGGCCUUCGGGUUGUAAAGCACUUUUAUCAGGAGCGAAACGCUGUCGGUUAAUAACCGGCGGAACUGACGGUACCUGAGGAAUAAGCACCGGCUAACUUCGUGCCAGCAGCCGCGGUAAUACGAAGGGUGCAAGCGUUACUCGGAAUUACUGGGCGUAAAGCGUGCGUAGGUGGUUUCUUAAGUCUGCUGUGAAAGCCCCGGGCUCAACCUGGGAAUUGCAGUGGAUACUGGGGAGCUAGAGUGCGGUAGAGGGUAGUGGAAUUCCCGGUGUAGCGGUGAAAUGCGUAGAGAUCGGGAGGAACACCAGUGGCGAAGGCGGCUACCUGGACCAGCACUGACACUGAGGCACGAAAGCGUGGGGAGCAAACAGGAUUAGAUACCCCGGUAGUCC